This 494-nucleotide ribosomal RNA is filed under the name uncultured bacterium. RNAcentral's name for it is "bacterial SSU rRNA". It matches the Rfam family "Bacterial small subunit ribosomal RNA", at positions 26 to 507 of the family's 1533-position model. The record is from RNAcentral.
AGGAUGAACGCUAGCUACAGGCUUAACACAUGCAAGUCGAGGGGCAGCAUUAUCGAAGCUUGCUCUGAUAGAUGGCGACCGGCGCACGGGUGAAGUAACGCGUAUCCAACCUUCCCCAUAGUCAGGAAUACGCCCGGCGAAAGUCGAAUUAAUGCCUGAUGUUUUCCACGGACGGCAUCCGAUGUGGAACAAAGAUUGAUCGCUAUGGGAUGGGGAUGCGUCUGAUUAGCUUGUUGGCGGGGUAACGGCCCACCAAGGCAACGAUCAGUAGGGGUUCUGAGAGGAAGGUCCCCCACAUUGGAACUGAGACACGGUCCAAACUCCUACGGGAGGCAGCAGUGAGGAAUAUUGGUCAAUGGGCGGAAGCCUGAACCAGCCAAGUAGCGUGAGGGAUGACUGCCCUAUGGGUUGUAAACCUCUUUUAUAAGGGAAUAAAAUACGGGACGUGUCCUGUUUUGCAUGUACCUUAUGAAUAAGGACCGGCUAAUUCCGUG